CAUGUAGGCGGAUUAAUAAGUUUGAAGUGAAAUCCUAUAGCUUAACUAUAGAACUGCUUUGAAAACUGUUAAUCUAGAAUUGGGAGAGGUAGAUGGAAUUUCUGGUGUAGGGUAAAAUCCGUAGAGAUCAGAAGGAAUACCGAUUGCGAAGGCGAUCUACUGGAACAUUAUUGACGCUGAGAUGCGAAAGCGUGGGGAGCAAACA
Molecule: ribosomal RNA, 205 nt
Filed under: uncultured bacterium
Lineage: Bacteria
Description: partial 16S ribosomal RNA
Rfam family: Bacterial small subunit ribosomal RNA
Source: RNAcentral